This 252-nucleotide ribosomal RNA is filed under the name uncultured bacterium. RNAcentral's name for it is "partial 16S ribosomal RNA". It matches the Rfam family "Bacterial small subunit ribosomal RNA", at positions 524 to 776 of the family's 1533-position model. The record is from RNAcentral.
UACGAAGGGGCUAGCGUUGUUCGGAAUUACUGGGCGUAAAGAGCUCGUAGGCGGUCUGUCGCGUCUGCUGUGAAAACUCGGGGCUUAACCCCGGGCCUGCAGUGGGUACGGGCAGACUAGAGUGCGGUAGGGGAGACUGGAAUUCCUGGUGUAGCGGUGAAAUGCGCAGAUAUCAGGAGGAACACCGGUGGCGAAGGCGGGUCUCUGGGCCGUAACUGACGCUGAGGAGCGAAAGCGUGGGGAGCGAACAGG